UACGGAAGGGGCAAGCGUUGUUCGGAAUCAUUGGGCGUAAAGGGCGCGUAGGCGGCACCGCAAGUCGACUGUGAAAUCUCCGGGCUUAACUCGGAAAGGUCAGCCGAUACUGCGGGGCUAGAGUGCAGAAGGGGCAACUGGAAUUCUCGGUGUAGCGGUGAAAUGCGUAGAUAUCGAGAGGAACACCUGCGGCGAAGGCGGGUUGCUGGGCUGAUACUGACGCUGAGGCGCGAAAGCCAGGGGAGCGAACGGG
This 253-nucleotide ribosomal RNA is filed under the name uncultured bacterium. Its description in RNAcentral is "partial 16S ribosomal RNA". It matches the Rfam family "Bacterial small subunit ribosomal RNA", at positions 524 to 776 of the family's 1533-position model. The record is from RNAcentral.